RNAcentral lists this ribosomal RNA (278 nucleotides) under Enterococcus faecium. RNAcentral's name for it is "partial 16S ribosomal RNA". It matches the Rfam family "Bacterial small subunit ribosomal RNA", at positions 1 to 257 of the family's 1533-position model. Lineage: Bacteria; Bacillati; Bacillota; Bacilli; Lactobacillales; Enterococcaceae. The record is from RNAcentral.
UUUUAUGAGAGUUUGAUCCUGGCUCAGGACGAACGCUGGCGGCGUGCCUAAUACAUGCAAGUCGAACGCUUCUUUUUCCACCGGAGCUUGCUCCACCGGAAAAAGAGGAGUGGCGAACGGGUGAGUAACACGUGGGUAACCUGCCCAUCAGAAGGGGAUAACACUUGGAAACAGGUGCUAAUACCGUAUAACAAUCGAAACCGCAUGGUUUUGAUUUGAAAGGCGCUUUCGGGUGUCGCUGAUGGAUGGACCCGCGGUGCAUUAGCUAUUUGGUGAGG